RNAcentral lists this ribosomal RNA (301 nucleotides) under uncultured bacterium. RNAcentral describes it as "partial 16S ribosomal RNA". It matches the Rfam family "Bacterial small subunit ribosomal RNA", at positions 509 to 807 of the family's 1533-position model. The record is from RNAcentral.
CAGCCGCCACGGGAAUACGUAGGGCGCAAGCGUUAUCCGGAAUUAUUGGGCGUAAAGAGCUCGUAGGCGGUUUGCCGCGUCUGCUGUGAAAUCCCGAGGCUCAACCUCGGGCUUGCAGUGGGUACGGGCAGACUGGAGUGCGGUAGGGGAGAUUGGAAUUCCUGGUGUAGCGGUGGAAUGCGCAGAUAUCAGGAGGAACACCGAUGGCGAAGGCGGCCAUCUGGGACAACACUGACGCUGAGGCACGAAAGCGUGGGGAGCAAACAGGAUUAGAGACCCCUGUAGUCCCUGUCUCUUAUAC